AUUGAACGCUGGCGGCAUGCCUUACACAUGCAAGUCGAACGGUAACGCGGGGCAACCUGGCGACGAGUGGCGAACGGGUGAGUAAUGCAUCGGAACGUGCCCAGUAGUGGGGGAUAGCCCGGCGAAAGCCGGAUUAAUACCGCAUACGACCUACGGGUGAAAGGGGGGGAUCGCAAGACCUCUCGCUAUUGGAGCGGCCGAUGUCAGAUUAGGUAGUUGGUGGGGUAAAAGCCUACCAAGCCUGUGAUCUGUAGCUGGUCUGAGAGGACGACCAGCCACACUGGGACUGAGACACGGCCCAGACUCCUACGGGAGGCAGCAGUGGGGAAUUCUGGACAAUGGGCGCAAGCCUGAUCCAGCAAUGCCGCGUGCGGGAAG
RNAcentral lists this ribosomal RNA (378 nucleotides) under uncultured bacterium. RNAcentral describes it as "bacterial SSU rRNA". It matches the Rfam family "Bacterial small subunit ribosomal RNA", at positions 29 to 410 of the family's 1533-position model. The record is from RNAcentral.